Molecule: ribosomal RNA, 216 nt
Filed under: Glomeromycotina sp.
Lineage: Eukaryota; Fungi; Glomeromycota
Description: partial small subunit ribosomal RNA
Rfam family: Eukaryotic small subunit ribosomal RNA (bases 40-216)
Source: RNAcentral
GGGUCAGUAGGUUGGUCGUGCCACCGGUACGUACUGGUCUCACUGAUUCCUCCUUCCUGAAGAACCGUAAUGCCAUUAAUUUGGUGUUGCGGGGAAACAGGACUGUUACUUUGAAAAAAUUAGAGUGUUUAAAGCAAGGUAACGCUUGAAUACAUUAGCAUGGAAUAAUGAAAUAGGACGAUCGAUCCUAUUUUGUUGGUUUCUAGGAUUGACGUA